GCAGCUACCAGAGUGGAGAUAAGCGGCCUUAUCAAUUAGCGGGAGUCCUGCGUUGCAGUUUGGACGGCAUGCUUGAUUCACCAUGCUCGGACGGUUUACGUAGCGGCUCAUGGGAAGAUCAGUGCUUCAAGUGCAUGUUCGGGCCCCAGUAUGGUUGGUGCUUGAGAUAGGCAGGAGUAGGACCUGUGCGACAGGUAGGCUUGGACUGUCGCUGCCCGUGUUGCUCGCCAGGGCUCGCUGUCACGGCACGCCGCACCUUUUCGUGUGCCCAGGCCGCCUCCGCUUCCCGAAAUUGCG
Molecule: long non-coding RNA, 297 nt
Filed under: Volvox carteri
Lineage: Eukaryota; Viridiplantae; Chlorophyta; Chlorophyceae; Chlamydomonadales; Volvocaceae
Description: long non-coding RNA (VCAR_LNC000094)
Source: RNAcentral